RNAcentral lists this ribosomal RNA (477 nucleotides) under uncultured Desulfobulbus sp. RNAcentral's name for it is "bacterial SSU rRNA". It matches the Rfam family "Bacterial small subunit ribosomal RNA", at positions 910 to 1382 of the family's 1533-position model. Lineage: Bacteria; Pseudomonadati; Thermodesulfobacteriota; Desulfobulbia; Desulfobulbales; Desulfobulbaceae. The record is from RNAcentral.
UUGACGGGGCCCGCACAAGCGGUGGAGUAUGUGGUUUAAUUCGAUGCAACGCGAAGAACCUUACCUGGUCUUGACAUCCCGGAGACCCUUAGGAAACUAGGGGGUGCUUCCAUCUGGAAGAAUCUGGAGACAGGUGCUGCAUGGCUGUCGUCAGCUCGUGUCGUGAGAUGUUGGGUUAAGUCCCGCAACGAGCGCAACCCUUGCCUUUAGUUGCCAGCAGUUCGGCUGGGCACUCUAAAGGGACUGCCGGUGUUAAACCGGAGGAAGGUGGGGAUGACGUCAAGUCCUCAUGGCCUUUAUGACCAGGGCUACACACGUACUACAAUGGCCGAUACAAAGGGCAGCGACACUGCGAGGUGAAGCCAAUCCCGUAAAAUCGGUCUCAGUCCGGAUUGGAGUCUGCAACUCGACUCCAUGAAGUUGGAAUCGCUAGUAGUCGUGGAUCAGCAUGCCACGGUGAAUACGUUCCCGGGCCUU